RNAcentral lists this unclassified non-coding RNA (353 nucleotides) under soil metagenome. RNAcentral describes it as "partial contains 5.8S ribosomal RNA, internal transcribed spacer 2, and large subunit ribosomal RNA". The stretch from base 1 to 120 matches the Rfam family "5.8S ribosomal RNA", at positions 35 to 154 of the family's 154-position model. The record is from RNAcentral.
GAUGAAGAACGUAGCGAAAUGCGAUAAGUAAUGCGAAUUGCAGAAUUCAGUGAAUCAUCGAAUCUUUGAAUGCACAUUGCGCCCGCCAGUAUUCUGGCGGGCAUGCCUGUCCGAGCGUCAUUUCAACCCUCGAACCCCUCCGGGGGGUCGGCGUUGGGGAUCGGCCCUUUCACCGGGUGCCGGCCCCUAAAUACAGUGGCGGUCUCGCCGCAGCCUCUCAUGCGCAGUAGUUUGCACACUCGCACCGGGAGCGCGGCGCGUCCUCGUCCGUAAAACACCCCAAACUUCUGAAAUGUUGACCUCGGAUCAGGUAGGAAUACCCGCUGAACUUAAGCAUAUCAAUAAGCGGAGGA